CCUUCGAUAGCUCAGUUGGUAGAGCGGUGGACUGUAGUUGUUGAAAAAUUGAUUCGAAAGAUAUCCAUAGGUCGCUGGUUCAAAUCCGGCUCGAAGGA
Molecule: transfer RNA, 98 nt
Filed under: Lucilia cuprina (Australian sheep blowfly)
Lineage: Eukaryota; Metazoa; Arthropoda; Insecta; Diptera; Calliphoridae
Description: tRNA-Tyr for anticodon GUA
Rfam family: tRNA
About the family: Transfer RNA (tRNA) molecules are approximately 80 nucleotides in length.
Source: Rfam by way of RNAcentral